Molecule: ribosomal RNA, 503 nt
Filed under: uncultured bacterium
Lineage: Bacteria
Description: partial 16S ribosomal RNA
Rfam family: Bacterial small subunit ribosomal RNA
Source: RNAcentral
AACGAACGCUGGCGGCACGUUUUAAGCAUGCAAGUCGAAUGGCAGCAGGGGCAACUCUGUGAGAAUGGCGAACGGGUGAGUAACACGUAGGUGAUCUGCCUUGAGGAUGGGGAUAGCCUGUGGAAACACAGGGUAAUACCGAAUGAGCUGACGAGACUUUGGUUUUGUUAGUAAAGGUGCUACGGCACCGCCUUGAGAGGAGCCUGCGGGUGAUUAGCUAGUUGGGGGGGUAAGAGCUGACCAAGGCGACGAUCAGUAGCCGGCCUGGGAGGGUGGACCGCCACACUGGAACUGAGACACGGUCCAGACUCCUACGGGAGGCAGCAGCUAAGAAUCUUCCGCAAUGGGCGAAAGCCUGACGGAGCGAUGCCGCGUGUUCGAUAAAGGUCGAGGGAUUGUAAAGAUCUUUUCUACAGGAGGAAUAAGUCUGGGAGGGAAUGCCCGGAUGAUGACGUUAGUGUAGGAAUAAGCCCCGGCUAAUUACGUGCCAGCAGCCGCCGUAA